AUCUACAGUCAUACCACCCUGAACAUGCCAGAUCUCAACUGAUCUCAGAAGCUAAGAGGGCUCAAGCCUCCUUGGUAUUUAGAUGGGACAGCACUUAGGAAUAUCUGGUGCUAUAGUCA
Molecule: ribosomal RNA, 119 nt
Filed under: Rattus norvegicus (Norway rat)
Lineage: Eukaryota; Metazoa; Chordata; Mammalia; Rodentia; Muridae
Source: RNAcentral